CUCUUAUCCAGAGAGGUGGAGGGACUGGCCCGAUGAAGCCCGGCAACCAACAUCGGAAUGAGUUGUAUGGUGCCAAUUCCUGCAGGUGCGAUGUGCCUGGCAGAUAAGAG
This 110-nucleotide non-coding RNA is filed under the name Mahella australiensis. Its description in RNAcentral is "SAM-I sequence". It matches the Rfam family "SAM riboswitch aptamer (S box leader)". From Rfam's summary of the family: The SAM riboswitch is found upstream of a number of genes which code for proteins involved in methionine or cysteine biosynthesis in Gram-positive bacteria. The SAM riboswitch acts at the level of transcription termination control. The predicted structure consists of a complex stem-loop region followed by a single stem loop terminator region. The record is from RNAcentral. Lineage: Bacteria; Bacillati; Bacillota; Clostridia; Mahellales; Mahellaceae. RNAcentral also lists the same sequence under 1 other name.